UGGGGAAUCUUGCGCAAUGGGCGAAAGCCUGACGCAGCAACGCCGCGUGGGGGAUGAAGGCUUUCGGGUUGUAAACCCCUUUCAGUGGGGACGAAAUUAGACGGUACCCACAGAAGAAGCCCCGGCCAACUACGUGCCAGCAGCCGCGGUAACACGUAGGGGGCAAGCGUUGUCCGGAUUUAUUGGGCGUAAAGAGCUCGUAGGCGGUUCGGUAAGUCGGGUGUGAAAACUCUGGGCUCAACCCAGAGACGCCACUCGAUACUGCUGUGACUAGAGUCCGGUAGAGGAGCGUGGAAUUCCUGGUGUAGCGGUGAAAUGCGCAGAUAUCAGGAGGAACACCAGCGGCGAAGGCGGCGCUCUGGGCCGGAACUGACGCUGAGGAGCGAAAGCGUGGGUAGCAAACA
RNAcentral lists this ribosomal RNA (404 nucleotides) under uncultured Actinomycetes bacterium. RNAcentral describes it as "bacterial SSU rRNA". It matches the Rfam family "Bacterial small subunit ribosomal RNA", at positions 355 to 774 of the family's 1533-position model. The record is from RNAcentral. Lineage: Bacteria; Bacillati; Actinomycetota; Actinomycetes.